ACCGUACGUAGCUCAGUGGUACAGCAUCUGCUUUGCAUGCAGAAGGUCCCAGGUUCAAUCCCCAAUGGGGCUGGCA
Non-coding RNA from Podarcis lilfordi (Lilford's wall lizard), 76 nucleotides. The record is from the annotation of a GenBank genome assembly. Lineage: Eukaryota; Metazoa; Chordata; Lepidosauria; Squamata; Lacertidae.